AGCUUUGAAGAAGAGUAUUGAUCGCUGUUGAAAGAAGCAAACCUUCCCUGCGCGCGCCGCAUUGUGAGUGCGGUCCGGCCCGAUCAAUAGCGCUGUUCGGAGCCGGUGCAGGUAGAGAGAGAGAGGGAGAGGGAGAGAGAUGGGAAAGGAGUGGGAGUAGGGAGGAAUCCCCUGGUGGCAGAGCUAUGAGUGAAAACAGACUCCGUGGUGAAGAUGAGAAAACAAAGAAGACGCAAACUCACGUUCCAAACCGUCCUGCCCAGUUGGGAGGAACUCAGAGCCGCCUGAGUUUCCGAAGACGGAAGUACAACUACAGCGACUGGGACAGGAGGCCGCAUGAGUGCUGGAGGGCUGGCUGGGAUCCCUGGUUCCAGGGACAUCAGUAGGGGGCGCUCCAGUGUGUCGGAGGAGAUAAGAGACUCUGACGGGUCAGCUGGGCCCACGUUCUGCCCCGCAGUGGACAGGAGUCUGGUGAUUCCGCAUGAGGUGGUAAAGUAAAAAAUUCUUUCAACGUGAAAUGAUGCAAAAUCUUCACUACUUCAUAUCAACCUAAAAUUAAAAUCAAAAUGUUCUGAAAACCAGGGCCGCCCUGUGAUGCCUUUAGAAAUCCUCCCCGAAACACGGGAUGUUGUUUUGGAGGAGUUAUUUUUCAAGUUGUAUCUGUAAGACAGCACCUGUUUGGCUUAAGAAGAGUCUGAGGUUAGAAAGCAGGCGGCCUGCGUACUGUGUCUGCUCAUUCUAAUGGUGCUAAUGACAACACACAACGCUGCUCGCGGAUCAAUGGAUCUACAGGCACGCACGUCUGAUGGAAGGUAGACAGAUGUCUGUGACUCCUGUUCCCAAUACUGUUCCAGUGAUCAUAAAAUAAAAAAAUCUCUGGCCCCUUUAGAGCAUUCAUCAGUCAAUAAAGGAUGUCUGAGAACACAGUGACAGCACGGCAGUGUCAGUGGUCUCUUGAAAAAAAUAAAAUAUGUCAUCGG
Molecule: long non-coding RNA, 980 nt
Filed under: Lepisosteus oculatus (spotted gar)
Lineage: Eukaryota; Metazoa; Chordata; Actinopteri; Semionotiformes; Lepisosteidae
Description: lncRNA (ENSLOCG00000021117.1)
Source: RNAcentral